Molecule: ribosomal RNA, 457 nt
Filed under: uncultured bacterium
Lineage: Bacteria
Description: bacterial SSU rRNA
Rfam family: Bacterial small subunit ribosomal RNA
Source: RNAcentral
UUUAAGCUUCCUACGGGAGGCUGCAGUGGGGAAUCUUGCGCAAUGGGCGAAAGCCUGACGCAGCCAUGCCGCGUGAAUGAUGAAGGUCUUAGGAUUGUAAAAUUCUUUCACCGGGGACGAUAAUGACGGUACCCGGAGAAGAAGCCCCGGCUAACUUCGUGCCAGCAGCCGCGGUAAUACGAAGGGGGCUAGCGUUGCUCGGAAUUACUGGGCGUAAAGGGAGCGUAGGCGGACAUUUAAGUCAGGGGUGAAAUCCCGGGGCUCAACCUCGGAAUUGCCUUUGAUACUGGGUGUCUUGAGUAUGAGAGAGGUGUGUGGAACUCCGAGUGUAGAGGUGAAAUUCGUAGAUAUUCGGAAGAACACCAGUGGCGAAGGCGACACACUGGCUCAUUACUGACGCUGAGGCUCAAGUAACGUGGGGAGCAAACAGGAUUAGAUACCCUUGAGUCGAAUUCUU